Molecule: small RNA, 1367 nt
Filed under: Pongo abelii (Sumatran orangutan)
Lineage: Eukaryota; Metazoa; Chordata; Mammalia; Primates; Hominidae
Description: processed transcript
Source: RNAcentral
AAGAGCGGAGCGUGUGAGCAGUACUGCGGCCUCCUCUCGUCUCCGAACCUCGCUCUCACGGCCUACUUUUACCCGCCCGCCUGCUCGGCGCCCAGGUAAGCCCCCGGACGGCCCGGUGGCACGCAAGCGAUGCGCGCCGCCCCUGCUACCCCGCGAGGCGCGCCGCCCAGCCUCUUUUUUCGGCUGCCUGCCCCUCCAGUCCCAGCCCUACGCUGCGGCCUCUCCGGCCCGGGCCUGAGGUCCGGCACGAGUGCUCCUCCCGCGUGCUUCCGCCGCCGGUGGCUUGGACCCGUCGGGGCUGGCGCUGGUGGGGCGCGCCCUUGGCCAGGCUCUGGGAAGGGCGGGGUGAGUUGUUUUGAUCUUCUUUUCACUACUUGCGGCCGAAGCGCCGCCCCUGGAGGCCGUUGGGCCGGCCCGCGCCCUGGGGCUCGCAGUGGUGUUUGCGCUGUGGAUGGAGUGGCGGUGCGGUCCCCUGUGGAGCGCAAACAAGGCGCUUGGUUGGCGCGGGCGCCUGGCUGCCUUCCUCGUGGUGGGGCGUUCGGAGCAAUCGUCGUGGUUCUGGCGAUGGUUGAGACGCCUCGAUUGCGGCGUGUAACUAACACCUUCCACCAUGACCACCUCAGCAAGUUCCCACUUAAAUAAAGGCAUCAAGCAGGUGUACAUGUCCCUGCCUCAGGGUGAGAAAGUCCAGGCCAUGUAUAUCUGGAUUGAUGGUACUGGAGAAGGACUGCGCUGCAAGACCCGGACCCUGGACAGUGAGCCCAAGUGUGUGGAAGAGUUGCCUGAGUGGAAUUUCGAUGGCUCUAGUACUUUGCAGUCUGAGGGUUCCAACAGUGACAUGUAUCUCGUGCCUGCUGCCAUGUUUCGGGACCCCUUCCGUAAGGACCCUAACAAGCUGGUGUUAUGUGAAGUUUUCAAGUACAAUCGAAGACCUGCAGAGACCAAUUUGAGGCACACCUGUAAACGAAUAAUGGACAUGGUGAGCAACCAGCACCCCUGGUUUGGCAUGGAGCAGGAAUACACCCUCAUGGGGACAGAUGGGCACCCCUUUGGUUGGCCUUCCAAUGGCUUCCCAGGGCCCCAGGGUCCAUAUUACUGUGGUGUGGGAGCAGACAGAGCCUAUGGCAGGGACAUCGUGGAGGCCCAUUACCGGGCCUGCUUGUAUGCUGGAGUCAAGAUUGCGGGGACUAAUGCCGAGGUCAUGCCUGCCCAGUGGGAAUUUCAAAUUGGACCUUGUGAAGGAAUCAGCAUGGGAGAUCACCUCUGGGUGGCCCGUUUCAUCUUGCAUCGUGUGUGUGAAGACUUUGGAGUGAUAGCAACCUUUGAUCCUAAGCCCAUUCCUGGGAACUGGAAUGGUGCAGGCUGCC